This is a long non-coding RNA of Silurus meridionalis, 447 nucleotides long. RefSeq lists it as uncharacterized. NCBI's taxonomy places the organism in Eukaryota, Metazoa, Chordata, Actinopteri, Siluriformes, Siluridae. The record is from RefSeq and is a predicted model, not a curated record. The transcript is spliced from 4 exons.
GGCCAAGUUUUUUGUCCCAUGAAAGUUCUUUAUGCCGAGCAAUUCACAUAGUGAGCAACCUGAAAGCAAAGGGAAAGAUAUUUCACUUGCUCACCAAGUAUCUGCACUGGGAUGAGGAGCCUCCAGGAAACAUCCACAAUGCUAUCACCAGCACCCUGAAGUCUUUUCUGGAAGACAGCAGUCUGAGGUUCCUGGAGAACAGCUGGUAUGGUUAUGAUCUCUGCCCUGCUACCUGGAACUACAUCUUCAGCCUGGAUCUUCUGUGUGCACAACUGGGCUGGACUUGGACCAUUACCAAUAUUAUACGGAAGGAUCUUUGGCUGAUCCUGAACACUUGGCUGAGGCAAGCAAGAACAGAGCAAACACCGUUCCGAGACGUCUGUGUAGCAGCAGUUUUCAGGCUACUUGGGCGACUUGGUCAACUAGGACUUAAGGAGAACAUGCUAA